RNAcentral lists this ribosomal RNA (251 nucleotides) under uncultured prokaryote. RNAcentral describes it as "partial 16S ribosomal RNA". It matches the Rfam family "Bacterial small subunit ribosomal RNA", at positions 525 to 775 of the family's 1533-position model. The record is from RNAcentral.
ACGUAGGGGGCAAGCGUUGAUCGGAAUCACUGGGCUUACAGCGCGUGUAGGCGGGGCGGCAGGUCUUCUGUGAAAGCCCCCGGCUCAACCGGGGAAUUGCAGGGCAAACUGCUUGGCUUGAGACUGGUAGGGGUGCCUGGAACUCUAGGUGGAGCGGUGAAAUGCGUAGAUAUCUAGAGGAACGCCAGUGGCGAAAGCGGGGCUCUGGGCCAGUUCUGACGCUGAGGCGCGAAAGCGUGGGGAGCAAACAG